This 398-nucleotide ribosomal RNA is filed under the name uncultured bacterium. Its description in RNAcentral is "partial 16S ribosomal RNA". It matches the Rfam family "Bacterial small subunit ribosomal RNA", at positions 523 to 918 of the family's 1533-position model. The record is from RNAcentral.
AUACGUAGGGUGCGAGCGUUGUCCGGAAUUACUGGGCGUAAAGAGCUCGUAGGUGGUUUGUCACGUCGUCUGUGAAAUUCCGGGGCUUAACUCCGGGCGUGCAGGCGAUACGGGCAUAACUUGAGUACUGUAGGGGAGACUGGAAUUCCUGGUGUAGCGGUGAAAUGCGCAGAUAUCAGGAGGAACACCGGUGGCGAAGGGGGGUCUCUGGGCAGUAACUGACGCUGAGGAGCGAAAGCAUGGGUAGCGAACAGGAUUAGAUACCCUGGUAGUCCAUGCCGUAAACGGUGGGCGCUAGGUGUAGGGGUCUUCCACGACUUCUGUGCCGUAGCUAACGCAUUAAGCGCCCCGCCUGGGGAGUACGGCCGCAAGGCUAAAACUCAAAUGAAUUGACGGGG